GUGUUCCUUUGUUUUAGUUGGCAUUAAGGGACAUAUUUUCAGAAACCAGUUUUGGGUUUGCGUUAACUUCUUAUGUUUCAUGCUCAUAAGUAUUGAAUAGAGGAUGCCCCUGGUGUCUUUUGUUUUGUUCAGUUUCCUUCAGGCAGCACCUCCUGUGCCCCAUGGGAAGAACCUUGGAAAGCAGUCAGCAGUCCGUGCAUUCACUGAUGGGGUGAGUGGUAAAGCAGUAACCUCCCCAGAGAUCUUUGUCUUAAAAAGUUGUUUUCAUUUUUAGCGUUUUACAUUUGUGUGUGUGUUUAAAUAAAAUAACUUGCAUAAUUCAUUUUCAGAUAAAUGAGCAGUCACAGAAAAUAAGCUUUCUCUUUUUUUUCUUUUUUUUAAAAUGUAACUGCCAUGUGGACAAGAAAACCAACUUCCAGACCAAGCUCCCCUCUCUCUACACUCAGUUGGAUGAGGCGUCUGUGCCUCAUUCCCUGUCCUCCGCUGGAUUUCAUCUCAGCUGGAAACAGCUGUGCCUUCUCAGUGGGUGACACUGUCCUUGACAAGGACAUCAAACAUGGUGCCCUCAGCCCAUCUCUACCCACCAGACCUCACUACUUGGGAUAUGAGUUUCAAGAAUAAAACACAGGGAGACAAAAUGCAGUCAUCAUUUAUGCCAACAACAGUGUCUUAGAUUCUGUGCAUCAUUAUCAUUGCCAUUGUGAUUGUUUCUUCACCCUCCUGUGUUUUCCAAGGUCAGCCCUGAGCUUUUUCUUCAAUUUGAUGGCCUGUGCACCUCCCUCACUCU
This 787-nucleotide long non-coding RNA is filed under the name Fukomys damarensis (Damara mole-rat). Its description in RNAcentral is "lncRNA (ENSFDAG00000029993.1)". Lineage: Eukaryota; Metazoa; Chordata; Mammalia; Rodentia; Bathyergidae. The record is from RNAcentral.